Molecule: long non-coding RNA, 2722 nt
Organism: Ornithorhynchus anatinus (platypus)
Lineage: Eukaryota; Metazoa; Chordata; Mammalia; Monotremata; Ornithorhynchidae
Exons: 3
Source: RefSeq, a predicted model, not a curated record
AGUCUCUCUCUGUCUCUCUUUCACUCUCUGGCUCUCUUUCUGUCUCCCCUUGCUGCUGCCUAGUGGUCCAUCUGAUGACACGGCGGAGCCGGGGAUGAAGACCCCCUGGGAGCUGGCUGGCAACGGCACCGCUGAGCUGAGACGCAACUGGAGGAAACUCAUUUUCCGAAGAAGAAAAUGCCCUGCCCUCUGAGGGGCUGGCUUUGGGAGAAAACCUCCAGUCGACACAAAACUUGUCUACUGCUCUGUCCAAGAGGAUGCAUUGGGCAGCCUUCUCCAGCACCAACGGUGAUCGGGGUACCAUGCUGAGCCUAAUCUCUGCAGCAUGCUGUGGCCUCCUCUUCUCUUCCUGAUGCGCUGCAUGACUGACAUCAGCCUCCAUAAUUGACAAUUGCCGAGGGCUAUUUUCCACGUUGAGUGAAAUCAGAACAUCCAGAGCCACCUACAAAAUGGAUUUUAAAGCAGUUACCCAUGGUUAGCCUGAGGAGGAGGAUAAAGACAUUUGCAACCAAGAUGGUCAUCACAAGUGGAAAUGAAGAAGAGAAAGGCAACCAUGAAAAGGAAAGCAAGGAGGAAACUGUCCUUGCCAUGUUGGGGAUCAUAGGGACAAUUCUGAACCUGAUCGUCAUCAUUUUCGUCUACAUUUACACGACUUUAUGAACUGCAGUGGAGGAAGCCUCCCGGUGAGGUUUUCAAGCUUUUCCAGCGCAGAGGAUUGGCUGCUAAGGGGCAAGCAAACAUUUUACCCGUUGGCCGUCGGCUCCACUGAACCACCUCAGUGCAAUGGGAACGCCAUCAUAUAACGCCUGCCUGCAAGCGGCAGACUCUAAAGCACAAUGCAUUCUGACCCGCACGGCCAUAAACUGAACUUUCCUGGGGGAGAAGGUGGGUUCAGGGCAACCGAGGAAACCUCGCCGGUCAGGUCAACCUUGGAUCCAAUAGGCUUGUGUAUAGAAAUGCUAGCAGAUUGCGAUAUUCUCCAAGGGCCCCAUUAACUCCACAGCACAAAAUGUGGGCAAGUUGAAAAGUGUGCUAGAACCCCCCCUUUCACCUUCAGUCUGGAAUUGACAACCACUUAGGAGACGGACAUGGGGGGACUUGAUCCCAUUUUAUCGCGGAUGUCUCAAAAUCCAGUCUUGGGGAAAUAACCUGAUUGUGUCUUCAUUGGCUUGGCACUUGUAUCUGUUCCUACCAAUGUUUGUAAAUCUAUAUUUUUAAUAAAUGUGCUAUAUUUUUUAGCAUGAACCAAAUAUUUGGGGAUGCACUCCUGGAUCCAGAUAGGUUGGCUGGGUUUUACGUAGUCUCUCUCAACUACAAAUGUUUCUCUGUUCUGCAGUCAUAAUUCUACCGAUUUCCCUCCUCAUCUCUGAAGUCCUGGGUUCGAAGUCCACUUUUUCAAACCAUCACCCUCCGGCUCCCAAGGUGCCUGGUGUGAGGAGGAGGUUACAUUGGGAAGCUGAUCGCUGAAACAACAGAUUUAUCAAAAUACCGCGGGCUCGACCAAGCCGGCCUUCAAUGCAGGGACUACCAAUCUCUUGUACCGACCUUUCCCAACACUCAGUGCGGUGUGCUCUGCGCACGGUAAAUGCUCAAUAAAUACCAUCGAUCGAUCGAGUGAUAGGGAGUCUUUACCCAGAAUUGUACGGAAAGGAUGGCUACAGGAUGGACAAUAGGUGGUAUUUGAUGACCGCUGGGAAAUCGUGGCUUGGUGUGAUAAUUGCCUCCAUCAAGCGUCUGUUAAACUCUUUAGAGACACAAAAUAUUCAGACUUCUAAGACUGUCGGUGGUUAGUGAUGGUAUUUAUUAAGUACUUACCAAAUGCCAAGAUCGAGGGUAGAUAGAAGACAGUAGGCUCUUAAUAAAUACCAUUGAUUUGAUUACAGAUCACGGGACUCAGUCUGCAAGGGAGGGAAAGUAGGGAUUUUACACCCAUUUUACAAAAGAGGAAACCAAGGCUCCGAAAGAUGAAGUGAUUUACCCAAGGUCCCACAGUGGCCUGGUGCCAGAGUUGGGACCAGGGCCCUGAUCCUCCCAUCCUGGCCACACUGCCCCCCUGAAGACUGUUGCUUCUCUUUGGUGACUCUGACAAUCAGCUAAUCCAAUUCUAAUGUAAAGGGAAGAGGUAUGUCAAAGAACCAAGGCAGAGUAAUGACUAAUCAAGGGCAGCAACUAGGCUCGGGGUGGCAGACGGAAUGAUGAGUUGAGGAUUCAGGGUUUGACCGAAUAAGCCCCAUCUUAAAUCUAUCAGGUCAGACCCUCACUAGCUCGGGCUCCUGGACCACCAUUUGAUUUGGUGACGGCUAAAGGGCCUACUUCGUCCCUUGGGAACUUGCCCAAUUAUCCCGUUGGCCAAGCCGCUGAUAACCGUCCAAGAAGUGCCCUACGUUCUGGCAGGCUGGGGUGCAAUCGAUUACAGUUAGUCGAGUCAACCUGGACCAUUUCUGAAAUGGAGCUGGGCUCUUGGAAAGGGCCAUUAGGUUUCCCCAACCCCAGUCCGUGGCCCGAAAGAUUCCACGAGCCCAGAAAUCUGGCAGAACCAACCCCAGGAAAAUAAACUGGCCUGGAGAAGUGUGGUGGGAGGUACUGACCAAGGUGGAUUAGCCACGGGACUGGACGCUGAGAGUCGGGGGAAUUCCAGGGGACCUGGUUUUCGUAUGGAAAGUGUGUGAAAUCCUGAACAGUGACCUGAACUAAGUCAAAAAUAAAGGUGGAUUUAAAAGAA